GAUAAAUAAACCAUUUCUAUGAGCAGUGAGACAAUGUAAGAUGUUUCAAUUAAAUAUACUAUAUGCCUUUAAAAUGAACUGUAUCUCCUUUUUUUGUGUGGCAAAUUCAGAUUUAAAUAUAGAGUUCAAUUCUUUCACAUGUCUUUAUACAUGUAUAUAGAAAUAUUCUAUGAUAACCUUUCCGCACAAACCCUUUAUUUGCUUUAAAACCCUCCGCUAGAAAAGUGGGUAGUAUAUAUAGUACUUGUUGGUAUCUAUGGUCCUCCUUCAAUUAGUUCCAGAUGUGUAUUUUCAAUAUCUAAACCUACAUUGUAUUAAAAAAACUAAAGCUUAACAAAAUGGAAAUGCCCUGGUGUGCUUUAUAUAUUUUACAUCUUAAUGUUAUUGUCUUUUGAGUUUGUCAGGGAUAAAUAUGGAUAUUAAAACUUUGGACCAUGUUUGUGUCGAUUAUUGGGCAUGGCUUACAGUUUUUCUAGUUGUCAAAUGUCACAAUCAGUAUCAGUUUUGAUAUAUUGUAGAGUAUCAGUAUUGAUAUAUUAGUUUCAGUUUUGAUAUAUUGUAGAGUAUCAGUAUUGAUAUAUUAGUUUCAGUUUUGAUAUAUUGUAGAGUAUCAGUUCUGAGUAGAUACCAAAUUUGUCAAUAAGACAUAGAUUUCAACAGUCAAAGAAAAUUUCACAAAUUUUUCAAAUAUCUGUUAUAUUUCCAUAUUUUAUUUAGGAAUCAAUCAUAGAAAUGAUUAUGGAAAAGUUUCAUAUAACAUUUUUCUGCAAUUUUCCAUAAGUUUCCAAAGUUACCCAGUCUAGGAUACAAUUAUAUAUAUUAAAUAUUUAACUUUAUAUAAAUUGUUUGAGCUUGUGUCUGAAAAUGGAGUUAAAGAAAUAAAC
RNAcentral lists this long non-coding RNA (884 nucleotides) under Mytilus galloprovincialis (Mediterranean mussel). The record is from RNAcentral. Lineage: Eukaryota; Metazoa; Mollusca; Bivalvia; Mytilida; Mytilidae.